GUCCAUGCCGUAAACGAUGAUUACUCGCUGUUAUGCCGUAGGGUGUAGCGGCCAAGCGAAAGCGUUAAGUAAUCCACCUGGGGAGUACGCCGGCAACGGUGAAACUCAAAGGAAUUGACGGGGUCCGCACAAGCGGUGGAGCAUGUGGUUUAAUUCGAUGAUACGCGAGGAACCUUACCUGGGCUAGAAUGUGAGGGAAUGUUUUGGAGACAGGACAGUCAGCAAUGACCCGAAACAAGGUGCUGCAUGGCCGUCGU
RNAcentral lists this ribosomal RNA (257 nucleotides) under uncultured bacterium. RNAcentral describes it as "partial 16S ribosomal RNA". It matches the Rfam family "Bacterial small subunit ribosomal RNA", at positions 793 to 1055 of the family's 1533-position model. The record is from RNAcentral.